GUUUGAUUGUGCUGAGUUCUUGCUCGCGCUCGGCGUCUUUCCGCGCAUCUCUCGUUUCGGCGCCCGCGUGCGCGUGUGUGUCAGAGAUAGAAGUCUCGCGGUGGAGGGUGAGUUUCCCCUCCAGCAGCUGCGUGUUUCGUUCAGCGUCCUGCUUUAGCCGACGGUUUGGGAAAGUCGUAUGAAAGCAACCCCUCAACGGCUGAAGAGGACCGUUGGGGCGUGGUUGGCUCUCCUCGCGUGUUGUGGGCUAGCUCCCUCCCCGGCCGAUAGGAAGCGGGCCUGUCGAGAGGCAAACGAGGGGAUGCAAAAAAAUAAAUAAGCAACCCGCCACCAACAGCCCCCUCACCGAAGGGUAAAACUGCCCUUCCUGACCCCUCAGCUGCUGCAGUGAACGAGCAAGGAAAAGGGGCUCCUCCGCUUGAGACCUCUCGCCCGCUCUCCCUUCUUCCUGCCACAUUGCUGUAGCAAAUAUUUGCUGAGCCCCUCUGGCAUGUGCAACAGUAAUUUUUAACUGGCACUUGAGUUAAUUCAAGUGCUUUGUACUAUGUCUCUUGUACUGAAUCUCUUAAGACAACUGCUGGAAUAUUAUGGCGUGCCACCAGAACUGCUUAUACAGAGGUGUGAAGUUUGUCUUAAUGCCUUUGUUCAUAUGAUUGCAUCCCAUCUUCCUUCAAACACCUCUUCAGGAGCACACUUCCAACAGUUAUGUGCCAUCUCAAGAAGCUAUGCAGUGUCCUGGGCAUGGGAAAGAAAAAAGUAUGGAUCUACCCGAAGUUUCGUUCGCAGACUGGGGAAGCAUAUUCCGUUAACUCCUUGUCCAAGGCCUCAGUUUCAGGUAAUCCAGAGUUUGAAUUCUUUGACACCUGAGCAAAGUAUUUCUAGUAGCUCUGUUACACCAUCUCUUGCUGAUGUCUUGUGGAUGGCAGAAAAUGAAAGAGAACCAUAUGCUAGAUUUAGAUUUGAUGAAUGGAGAGGAGUUGUGCCGGUUGCUACAAAAGGAAGUAUGCAAAAAUUAACUGUUGUGAAUGAAGAUGCGUUCAAAAAAAUUUCUGCUCUUGAGAAUGAAUUGGCUAAUCUUCGUGCACAGAUUGCAGCAAUUGUGGCAGUGCCUAGAUCAGGAGAUGAUCAACCAUGUUCAGGCAUUGUGAAUUCCUCAAACAAUGCCUUUAAUGCUCUCCCACAGCCAGGAGUGACUUCUACACCAGUCCCAAGUUCUCACAUUGCUGUUCCUCCACUGCCACCAGCACCACCAUGUCCAGCUGUACCUCUAUCUAAUUUUGAUUCCUGUAAUUCAACCAUUGAGCUUAUUAAACAACGUCGGGCUUCAAGUAAGAUAAGAAAUACUACAGAGAGUACAGGUUGGCAGAAGGAAGAAGCUCUUCCCACUAUGAUGGAUGUUCUGAAGGAUAUAAAUAAGAUCAAACUAAGAGCAGUUGAGAGAUCACCAGGAGGUACACCUCUACCCAAAACAAAAAAAAGAAUUGCAUCACAGUGGGAUCCAGCAGCUUUAAUAGCAGAAGCUCUUAAAGAGAAAUUUGCGUCGCAGAAUAAUGAUGAUUCCUUUGAUAAAGAGAACAGAUCCUAUAGUGCUUCUCCAUUUUCCAGUCCAGAUACCCCAAUGGUUGGCUGUCGGGUUUUGAAGCCAAGUAUGAAGCAGACGCUUAUUAGAACUAAUGAGCUGAUGUAGGUAUCAGCUGCAAAACCAGCAAUUCAUCUUUAGCCAUGAUGUAGAGCUUCUUGAGAAAAGCUCUGCCAUUGGUUUCAUAGACCUUGAUACUGUGCUAUAAAGCAGCAGCUUAUAGAGCUAGCUGUUUUUCAUUAAUCUACUUCAGCAGCCAAGCAUCUGGAAUUUGUUUGUGUAAAAUAUUUUAUCAGCAGGAGUAUGUUUUACUGGUUUUUAUAACAACUUUAUAGUCUGGGCUGCAGAAUUUAAAGCAGACACAUAAACAUGUCAAAAAAGAAGAAGAGAAUAGUACCACAGAAACAAAAUAUAAAUUAAUUUGGUUACAUGUAGAUGAUAAUAUAUUUACGAAACGGUAUCCUGUUCAUUUGUUUUCCUAUAAUGGGAUUAGCUAUUGUGUGAAGAGUUGACGCUUGCUGUGGCUUUUGGCCUCUCCUGCACAUUCACCCCUGCACAUUCCCAUUCUCGGCAGCCUCACACCAACACAUUGAGGAUAUCUCUGCAGAGGGAGCAUCUCUCCCACCUAACACAUGUAACCUUUCCCCAUCAACUUGGGAUCCUUAUCAUGGACGGAGCUUGCUUGUGCUUGAUGGGCUUUCUCUUUGCAAUCUUGCCCCCAGUGCAUUUACAACGCGGGAGAGGUUGGGGUUGAAGACACAGAGACAGGACCAGUGGACAGAGCCCCACUUCCUCUUACAUGACUGCUAAUUGAAUAAUGGCAACAUCACUGAAUAGGGCUAAUAUGUUGAUAGUAAGGAAUAGCUUCCUCAAAAAUAUCCCUUUCUCAAUUUGAUUCACUGGUGCAGCCUUAUAAGAUCUCAAUAAUUGGCACCAGUGGUGUUUGCUUGGUUUUGAGUAAGAGACCAUUAACAUCCUUGAAUACUGUAAAAGUUUGUAAAGAAAACACAUGAACUGUGUGCAUAUUUGAAAUGCAUGAUUCAAAUAAAUAUUGCUGUUGACUAUUUGCACCCCAGUAAAUUUUGCUUACAAAAGAAAUCGUUUAUGUCUAAACUGUAUGAUCAUUCUCCAUGACUGUAAUAUUUCAGAUUUCGUAGUCUUGUGUAUGAAGAUUUGUGGAGGAAUAUAAGCUAUAUGAUAUGUCAUUCCCCUUGUAACUUACAAUAUGCUAUACAGGGUAGAAGUGCUAUCUAAAAAAAGUUUGCAUCUCUUCUACCACAACCAUUUAAACUCUGGAUGCCCCGUCAUACAUGCAACCUAGAUAUUGCACAGCACAGAGGGUUUGUGGAUUGUACCCAUAAUGUGUCUUUAUCAGGUUCUCCUCAUGUAUUCAAACCUUCUGGUGUACCCUUGCAGACUUUUGAGUGUUGCUUUUUAUUUAUUGUAUUUUUAUAUAUUUUUUAAUUUACUUAUUUAUAUUUUUAUUUACUUAUUUAUAUUUUUGUUUAGUAUCCCAGUUAUAGUGCAUUGCUCCUUAUAAUUCUUGCAUAUGGUUUUUUGUGUGGAUGGCAAGCAGAGGAAAUUUGUCUCAAUAUAUUGGUUUCCUUCCCUGAGAUAAAAGUGCUUCCUUCUGAUGAUUUGUUGCUUAAUAUUUUGUUUUCUGUUCCAUCAUUGCAUGGUUCUUACUCAAGGAAGAGAUAACUUUUAGUUCUAUAUUGAUAUUUGCAUAGACAAAGACAUUACUUGCCUCAGGCUGUAUCAUAAAUAAUGUGACGGCAGUAAAUGUAUGUAAUUUGAAUGUUGGCUAUGUGUGUCUGUUUAGUUAUUGAGUGAUGUGCCCCUCUAGAGCCAACAGUACAUUGAUGCCUGUCUUAGUAUGUCACCUCUUAAUUGCAAAGACUUAGCAGUGUGUCAUAUAUAGCCCCCCCCCCAUGUUUGCCAUAAUUUUCAGUUGCUUGUAACUUUUCCAAACAGACUUCAUUUUGUAUUUGAAAGUUCAGUUGUAGUUGUAUUUUGAACAACAUAGGUGAGAGUGAGGUUGGUUUUCAUAGAAUCGUAGAAUUGGAAAGGACCCUGAGGACUAUCAAGUCCAGGGUUUCCCAAACUUGGGUUUCCAGCAGUUUUUGGACUACAAUUCCCAUCAUCCUUGACCACUGGUACUGUUAGCUAGGGAUGAAGGGAGUUGCAGUCCAAAAACUGAUAGAGACCCAAGUUUGGGAAACCAUGAUCUAGUUCAACCUCCUGCAGUGCAGGAAUAUGCAGCUGUCCCAUAUGAGGAUUGAAUCCUGAGACAUUGAUGUUAUCUGCAACAUGCUCUACCCAACUGAGCUAUCCAGUGCCUUGUGCUUUUUGACUUUCCAUUUUAAUUGAAAACAUUUGAACAUUUUGUGAGAGGUGAACCAUAGUCCAAUCCCCUGGACUAGGAAUGGGCUAGCCUAAAUACAUUUUGUUUCACUGUCACUGAUCCUCAAUCAUAGGUUCAUUCCACCCCUGUUUCUUGCAGACUUAAAAAUCAGGAUGAUGUUGAUGCAUUUUGCAUGCACUCCCCCACAAAACACACAGAUUUCAAUGCUUUUGAAUGCAUUUCCUCUUUUAAUAUGACUUUGUUUACAUAAAAUACAUAUCUUGUGGAGAGGUUUUUGGACCAAAACUGUAUUGCAAAAUCCAGAGGAAUGUAUGAUUGCAUUCUGACCCAAAAGGAAGAUCGGAAAAAUAUGGAACAAAUUCCUCCAUCCUUAUUGUGAAAAACGGUAUCUCAGUCGCAUCCUUUACCGUAGAUAUUAAUGGCCAACCCAUGUACUUUAAAUGUGAUUAAAUGGUGAUUUUAACCACCAGAGGGCAAUCUGAUACUAUAGCUUUGCAAAAAAUAGUUUUGCUUUCAUAUUGCCUGUCUUCCAUAGACAACACCUUUUCUUUCCGGAGGUACAGUUUAACAACCAAAUACAUUGGUUUUGUUUUUAGUCUGUUGAUAUUUAUGCUGUAAAGUUUCUAGGUCUUCGUAGAUACUAAAAGAACUUGAGAGUAGAAGGCUAGUUUCUCAAAAGCUGCAGUUCCCUGGUCAUAAACAGGAUUCCUGCAUAUCCAGAGGUAAAUUCCCCCCUCUGUGGGCUCCUUACCACAUAUUUCUCUACUGUGUGCUAUGCCACUUGCUCUGUCAGCCAGUACCCCCACUCUGAUUUGUAUGGCAUCCCCAUUCUGUUGGUGUCUUUAGAAGAUUACAGUUGCACUAGCACUUGGAACUAGACCAGCUAGCUGACCAGCUAUUUCUUACUGUAUUAUUAUCUGGACUGUAGUGACUGUGUGCGGUAUUUAUUGUGUGAGUUCUUUGCUCAUUGUGCUUGCUGCUGUCUUCCCCUUCUCCAUGUAGCCUGUUAAUAUUUAUCAGUGGAGUGAAGCCUCUACAAGUGCUCAAUCCUCAUGAUGCAUGGUGGUUCUGUGUCUUCUGGUGCUUGUGCUUCUCCUGAUACUGUAUGGGAGCUCUAACUCUUGGCAGUUGUGUUUUGCAGUUAUCUCUUACGUUUAAUAAGGGCUUCUCUCCAAAACAAAAAAUCAAUGCAUUGCAUGGCAUAGAGUUAGCAUGCAGCCUUAGUAAUCACCUCUGUAGCCUGGAUUUCUUAAAUCUCCUGGAUCCUGAGAUGCAAAUGCAAAUGGGACUUGAGCUUCCUUUAUCUGGAGCAUAUUCUAAGACUUGUGUGUAUAUAUAUAUAUAGCUAGCAGAAGUGCCACCUGGUGAUACACUGCUAAUCAUAAGAAUCUUGGUGCACUAACAUACCUCCCAUAAUCCAGUAAUCUGCUCUCAAGUUAUUUUUAGUAUCUUAAAUAAUACAUUUUAUCUGAUAAAACUUACAACUUUUUUGCUUCAUCUAAGGAGUUUUACACCUUUUAAAAUACUGAUGUUUUUUCCUACUGCAUUUCACCAUGCAGUAAGCAUUAUUUCAAGUUAAAUAAGUAGAAGGGGGAAACUCAGCUAUAGAAAAUAUGCAAAUAGAGACAGCACUUUGGUUGCAGUUUAUUAUUUUUAAUUUGCUUAUCUUUGAUUUGAUAAAUGAGCAAUGGCUUAUAUUUCACACCAGGGUUAAUACAGGUUGAAUAAAUUCUCUGUACUUGGUGUUGACUAACUUUUAUAUUUAUGGAUAUUUGAUAAAACACACUGCACAUAACUCUGAAACUUGGAAAAUUAUGGAGUACAGGAUGUCCUCAACUGCUGGAAAAGCCCGAAAAUGGGAUCAAAAUUUCUAAUGCAGAUUGGCAUAGGCAGCCUAAGUAACAAAUGGCAUGGAAUUGAACAUUGGGCUAUAGGAGUCAUGUUACCCUUUCCCACCCUUAUCAGUUUUUGAUUUGGUAAUGGAUCAUUUCUACUAGCAGUCAGAAAUACAUGGUUUGUUUCCUUGACUCACAGAUAUAAAAGUUAUUAGGAUACUUCUGUGACCAAGAAGGGCUUCAAGAGAUCCUGAUGGAGGAGGGGGGGGAAAUCCUGAUUAAAGAAAAGUGAGAAAAUCUAAAAGUUGAAGUGCAUUCUGAGAACUUCUUACUAAUUGUAUGAUGUGCUCUAAGAGGGCCAAACCCCACAGAUUGCUGUGAUAAGUAUUACCCUCUCCUGAACCAAUUCUGGACUGUAGGGGCAUUUUCAGAAAUAGUCUGGAAUGUUCAGUGGGCUUGUAGAAUUCAGCCUGUACUUACCAUAAACAGCAUCUGAAAGUGGCAGAAAUUCUUGUGAAGAUGCAAGCACGAAGCAAAUGCUUGACUAAAUUGGCUAAAAUGUGAGAUAUGCACAUAUGCAAACAUCAUCCUUCUGUAUUUUUUUUAUUAACAGUUAUCUUUUGACAUGAAUACUUACAGCAGUAUGUUAAAGAUACAGUUCAGUUCUUCGCAUCACUGCAUAGCAGUCACAAUUUCACACAAGGCCUUGUUCAGACCUAACACUAAACCACAGUUUGUCUGUUUAACUUAACUGUAGUUUGUACAUCCAAACCCUCCCCAGCCAGCUAACUAUGACUUAUAUACAACCUGGAAACUAGAAUAUGAAACCAUGGUUUGAAGCUGGCUCAUGAUUCUCUGCUUGCUUUAACUGUGUUUGUCAUUAUCCUGGGUUAAUCCUUUUUUUACCCCAGCCACCCACAUGGGGUAAGAGUUGUUAGAAAUGCUCAUGCAGCCAAGUGACUCUCACUGGCAGUUUUCCAGCUCUUUCCUCCCUCCCUCCUCUGCCUAGUAUUAGGGUUCCUCCCACCACCCAACCUAGUUCCACUUUGCAAUGAGAAAAUUUAUGCCAUUUUUUUUACUAGCAUGUAUCCCAGCGCACAUGUUGAAAGCAUUCCUUUGUUCUUAGCAUCUUACCCCAAUUUUAAAGACAAAUGCAGCUUCACAAAAAUCCUAUCUAUAGCAAGUACAUGAAGCUGACCUUUGUUCUUCCCCAUUUAUGUGCUUUUGGCAGUUCUGCUUCUGGGAAACACUCAUGACCCUUCAGUACUUAGCUCUCUGAAGUCCCCCUUUGGUCAGUAUCAUGCUAUCACCAUGGACUCAGGCAGUCCAAGGAUGAUUGCUCACUCAGAGUAAUCAUACCAGUACCAGGUUUUGAAGAUUGUAAACAACAUGUGAUAGCAAUUAUUGGGGAGUGGUUUUUUUUUUAAAAAAAAAUUAUGUAAACACUCUGUGUUACUUUGUAUUCCCUUGGAAAAAUGAUGUUUAUGUGUGUCAGCUGCAUUAGCAAUAUCUCAGCUCUGCUGUUGCAGAAUAGUAGUAGCUGGUGUUACAGAAGCAAAGGACAAGAAAGAGAGGGAUUUUUGUUGAUGCAUGAAGAAAAGUCCAAAAGGGAACUCUAGAAUAUGAACUGCAAUGAGGCGAUACUUAGCCAGCUGUCCAAAGAAAUAUCCUUGAAAGGGUUCAGUUGUUGCAUCCAUCAGUGCUGUGCAAAGAUGAACACUAUUAAAAGCUUUUUUAAAAAUCUCACCACUCACAAUAAGGACUCUGGGGUAGAACCAUGCACCAUGCUGUUCUACAAUAAACUAGCCUUACUCCUAGAUACAGAUGCCACCCUUGGCUACUGUGGGCAGUCAGCAGCAUUGGUGGCCAAGACAGGCCGCUCCAUUGCUGGCUAGGCAGAUCUUCUCUCCUGCUCCUGGAAUUUCUGGACAUGCAUCUUUGCUGGCAAAGCUUCAGUGAGUGCCAUUAUCAUGGUAAAGGUAAAGGGACCCCUGACCGUUGGGUACAGUUGCGGACGACUCUGGGGUUGCGGCACUCAUCUUGCUUUACUGGCCGAGGGAGCCGGCGUACAGCUUCCGGGUCAUGUGGCCAGCAUGACUAAGCCGCUUCUGGCGAAUGAGAGCAGUGCACGGAAACACCAUUUACCUUCCUGCCAGGGCGGUACCUAUUUAUCUACUUGCACUUUGACAUGCUUUUGAACUGCUAGGUUGGCAGGAGCUGGGACCGAGCAACGGGAACUCACCCCGUCGUGGGGAUUCAAACCACCGACCUUCUGAUCAGCAAGCUCUAGGCUCAGUGGUUUAGACCACAGCACCACCUGCAUCCCAUUAUCAUGGUAGCCAUGUACAAGCAUCAAGAGGACAAAGAGGCUGAUGGGGACUAUACCAGAAACAACUGCUAUAUCAGCCUGAAUGUGCUGUCAGAUGCCUCAGAGGAACUGUGCAAUGGGGCCAAGAGGGCUGAUGAAUUGCCUGUGUAUUUCCUACAAUCGUUUGAGGACUGGUUCACCACCUUCCUUAGGUUCCAAGAUAGGAAAGGAAGAAGAGCAACCACCAUCCAGGGCUCUAACUACAGACUUGGGGAGAACAUCAACACACUCUAGAAUUAUUUGUUUCUUCCAGGUAAAUGUGCUUAGGAAUUGCAGCCUUUAUUUAAAGUGUGUUUCACUGAAAUCAGUGAGACUUCUUACAAGUAUAUGAAUAUAGUUUUGGAAUAUUUGAGUAAAUUGCAGCUAGGGUUUUGAAGUGCACUGGUAUCACAGUGUGGCCCACUUGCCACCUAUAUUGAAAAAGAAAGGAAUCUGAUAAGAAUUGUAGAAAAAUGUCAAAGUGGAGUUAAAUAUUGAAAAAUUCUGUAAUUUAUCCUUUUCAGCAAUCUAUUCAUCCCUCCCUUAUGGUUGACUUCAAUCUUCAGAAAGACACAGAGAUACUAUGGUAGGUAAUUAAGGUUAAAAUAAUGAUCUUCAAUGGAAUCCUAAAUAGUUUUUUCUUAUCCUGAUAUGUGGAAGAAAAUCUUGAACAGUCUUUGCUAUGGUUUUGACAAGUUAAUGCUGAUAUUACUAUUUAUAUAAAGCUCCUUUCUUCACAGGGUGAAAGAGUCCAGUUCAUUUGAUAUUUUCACACUAAUCUAAAGAGAUCACAUUAGUAUUUUAUUUUUUCAACCUAAGCUUUCCUUUCUGCCUUGGGACUUACUAAGGUUUACAUUCCUUUGGCUUGGAGACUCUGUGGCUCUUGCUGUGUAUUUCUUAGUUCUGGUUUUUGGCAAAUCACUGAUAUUUUGCUUCUUAAUGCUUGCUUUUAGUAUCUGUUUUUUAAACUAAUGGAAGUAGCACUUCAAGUCAUUCAUUUACACAACCAGGUUUCUCCUACAGUAGGUUGUAAUUUAUCACGUGCUUGUGGCACUGAUAGAGCUCCCUUUUUAAAUGAACAGUGCACUCAUUUGUGGCAGGGAAGCUGAGACACAAAAAACUGAUUACUGCUCUAGCUGUGUGAAUUGGCUAUAUGGAGUUGCUAUAGGCCUCAUUAAGGCAAUGAAAGUGUGGGCGUUUCCUAAGCGCAGAUGUACCAUAUCUCAUCUGAGUUUAAUCAAAAUGUAAUGCUAUUGUGUAGCUGUAUGUUAUAGAGUUCUUGAGCACUGUUCUUCAGUGAAAUUCUUGCAGUAUGUUGCGGCUAAAACUUGUGCCUGAAGCUCUGUUUGCUCAGUACACUUUCUUCCACGUUGUACAAAGGGAGAAAAAGCUUUAUAUUUCAAUCUCUGAGCAGAAGCAAGCUCUUGAUUUGGCUUGCAAACAAAAUGUUCUUUUGCAUUGUUGUGAGUUUGCUGUUUUGCUGUGUUCCAAUUCAGGCAACACCUAAGAUUUCAUGGUUGUUGACUUGUUGAUUUUUUUGAAAUCAAAGGAUAUUUAAACUUUAACAUGAUUCACAUUUCCAUUGUAGCAUGCAUACAGAAGAAUUGGCUGACAUGUAAUUGCAUGUACUCACUUGCCUUUUGAAAUUAAUCUGUCAUAGAAACUCCCUCAUAAUUGUACAGUGGUACCUCGGGCUAAGUACUUAAUUGGUUGCGGGGUGCCAUUCACACCCCGAAAAAUACUUAAUCUGAGCGGUGAUAACGUGCGUGCGCGAAGUGCCGAUAGAGCGCUCAUGCGCAAAUCACGCAGAUCAGUUUUGCGCAUGCGCACAUGGCGGAACCCGGAAGUAAACACUUCUGGGUCCGCGGAGUACUUAAACUGAAACUACUCAAACUGAAGGGUACCUAACCCGAGGUAUGACUGUAUAACAGUUUGGUUAUCAUGGAAAUUAAGGAGUACUUAUGUAAUAAGAAAUUUUAUGGUAAAUCUGGAAGUAAAAGGUAAAGUUAGUUAAGUCCACUCAUCUCACUUUACUGGCCAAGGGAGCCAACGUUUGUCCGCAGACAGUUUUUACGGGUCAUGUGGCCAGCAUGACUAAGCCGCUUCUGGCAAACCCAGAGCAGCGCACAGAAACGCUGUUUACCUUCCCGCCAGAGCGGUACUUAGUUAUCUACUUGCACUCUGACGUGCUUUUGAACUGCUAGGUUGGCAGGAGCAGGGACCGAGCAACAGAAGCUCAUCCCAUCGUGGGGAUUUAAACCGUCGACCUUCUGAUCGGCUCUGUGAUUUAGACCACAGCGCCACCCACGUCCCAUAAAUCUGGAAGUAGAUCACUUAAUUAAGUGAUUAAUUAUAUGUGUCUAGUGUAAAAAAA
Non-coding RNA from Zootoca vivipara (common lizard), 10500 nucleotides. The record is from RefSeq and is a predicted model, not a curated record. Lineage: Eukaryota; Metazoa; Chordata; Lepidosauria; Squamata; Lacertidae.